RNAcentral lists this ribosomal RNA (491 nucleotides) under uncultured Pseudomonadota bacterium. Its description in RNAcentral is "bacterial SSU rRNA". It matches the Rfam family "Bacterial small subunit ribosomal RNA", at positions 355 to 861 of the family's 1533-position model. The record is from RNAcentral. Lineage: Bacteria; Pseudomonadati; Pseudomonadota.
UGGGGAAUAUUGGACAAUGGGCGCAAGCCUGAUCCAGCCAUGCCGCGUGGGUGAUGAAGGCCCUAGGGUUGUAAAGCCCUUUCAGCGGGGAAGAUAAUGACGGUACCCGUCAGAAGAAGCCCCGGCUAACUUCGUGCCAGCAGCCGCGGUAAUACGAAGGGGGCUAGCGUUGCUCGGAAUUACUGGGCGUAAAGCGCACGUAGGCGGCUUUCUAAGUCGGGGGUGAAAUCCUGGAGCUCAACUCCAGAACUGCCUUCGAUACUGGAAAGCUCGAGUCCGGGAGAGGUGAGUGGAACUGCGAGUGUAGAGGUGAAAUUCGUAGAUAUUCGCAAGAACACCAGUGGCGAAAGGCGGCUCACUGGCCCGGUACUGACGCUGAGGUGCGAAAGCGUGGGGAGCGAAACAGGAUUAGAUACCCUGGUAGUCCACGCCGUAAACGAUGGAUGCUAGCCGUUGGCGAGCUUGCUCGUCAGUGGCGCAGCUAACGCUUU